GUAGGUGGCAAGCGUUGUCCGGGAAUUAUUGGGGCGUAAAGCGCGCGCAGGCGGUUCUUUAAGUCUGAUGUGAAAGCCCACGGGCUCAACCGUGGAGGGUCAUUGGAAACUGGAGAACUUGAGUACAGAAGAGGAAAGCGGAAUUCCACGUGUAGCGGUGAAAUGCGUAGAGAUGUGGAGGAACACCAGUGGCGAAGGCGGCUUUCUGGUCUGUAACUGACGCUGAGGCGCGAAAGCGUGGGGAGCAAACAGGAUUAGAUACCCUGGUAGUCCACGCCGUAAACGAUGAGUGCUAAGUGUAGGGGGUUUCCGCCCCUUAGUGCUGCAGCUAACGCAUUAAGCACUCCGCCUGGGGAGUACGGCCGCAAAGGCUG
RNAcentral lists this ribosomal RNA (374 nucleotides) under uncultured organism. RNAcentral describes it as "partial 16S ribosomal RNA". It matches the Rfam family "Bacterial small subunit ribosomal RNA", at positions 527 to 896 of the family's 1533-position model. The record is from RNAcentral.